CUACGGGCCGCUGCAGUGGGGAAUCUUAGACAAUGGGCGCAAGCCUGAUCUAGCCAUGCCGCGUGAGUGACGAAGGCCUUAGGGUCGUAAAGCUCUUUCGCUGGGGAAGAUAAUGACGGUACCCAGUAAAGAAACCCCGGCUAACUCCGUGCCAGCAGCCGCGGUAAUACGGAGGGGGUUAGCGUUGUUCGGAAUUACUGGGCGUAAAGCGCGCGUAGGCGGAUCAGAAAGUUGGGGGUGAAAUCCCGGGGCUCAACCCCGGAACUGCCUUCAAAACUCCUGGUCUUGAGUUCGAGAGAGGUGAGUGGAAUUCCGAGUGUAGAGGUGAAAUUCGUAGAUAUUCGGAGGAACACCAGUGGCGAAGGCGGCUCACUGGCUCGAUACUGACGCUGAGGUGCGAAAGCGUGGGGAGCAAACAGGAUUAGAUACCCGCGUAGUC
This 439-nucleotide ribosomal RNA is filed under the name uncultured bacterium. RNAcentral's name for it is "partial 16S ribosomal RNA". It matches the Rfam family "Bacterial small subunit ribosomal RNA", at positions 339 to 795 of the family's 1533-position model. The record is from RNAcentral.